This 852-nucleotide ribosomal RNA is filed under the name Stegonsporium pyriforme. RNAcentral describes it as "LSU rRNA". It matches the Rfam family "Eukaryotic large subunit ribosomal RNA", at positions 56 to 940 of the family's 3401-position model. Lineage: Eukaryota; Fungi; Ascomycota; Sordariomycetes; Diaporthales; Stilbosporaceae. The record is from RNAcentral.
GAAAAGAAACCAACAGGGAUUGCCCUAGUAACGGCGAGUGAAGCGGCAACAGCUCAAAUUUGAAAUCUGGCCUCGGCCCGAGUUGUAAUUUGCAGAGGAUGCUUUUGGCGCGGUGCCUUCCGAGUUCCCUGGAACGGGACGCCACAGAGGGUGAGAGCCCCGUAUGGUUGGACACCAAGCCUGUGUAAAGCUCCUUCGACGAGUCGAGUAGUUUGGGAAUGCUGCUCAAAAUGGGAGGUAAAUCUCUUCUAAAGCUAAAUACCGGCCAGAGACCGAUAGCGCACAAGUAGAGUGAUCGAAAGAUGAAAAGCACCUUGAAAAGGGGGUUAAACAGUACGUGAAAUUGUUGAAAGGGAAGCGCUUGUGACCAGACUUGCGCCUGGCGGCUCAUCCGGGGUUCUCUCCGGUGCACUCCGCCAGGCUCAGGCCAGCAUCGGUUCUCGCGGGGGGAUAAGAUCGGCGGGAACGUAGCACCCUCCGGGGUGUGUUAUAGCCCGUCGAACGAUACCCUCGCGGGGACCGAGGUUCGCGCUCCGCAAGGAUGCUGGCGUAAUGGUCAUCAGCGACCCGUCUUGAAACACGGACCAAGGAGUCGUCCAUUAUAGCGAGCGUUUGGGUGUAAAACCCGCACGCGUAAUGAAAGUGAAAUUAGGUGAGAGCUUCGGCGCAUCAUCGACCGAUCCUGAUGUUCUCGGAAGGAUUUGAGUAAGAGUUAUAACGGACGGACCCGAAAGACAGUGAACUAUGCUUGUAUAGGGUGAAGCCAGAGGAAACUCUGGUGGAGGCUCGCAGCGGUUCUGACGUGCAAAUCGAUCGUCAAAUAUGAGCAUGGGGGCGAAAGACUAAUCGAAC